CUCCGACUUCCUAGGGUCGAAGUUACUGCCUGCUGGGUUUUAGAAGCUAUUGCUUUACGUCUGAGAAAAAAAUCCCAGAAAGUUCGUUAUUGGGAAACUUUACAGCGUGCCAGUAGUGGUUAUAAACCCCGAAUAAGAGCCUUGUCAUCACGGAGCGUGUAGUUCCAGCAAGUAGAGAAUUCAAGUGCUGUGUAGUGAAAUAAUUGCUGAGAUAGUGUACGGAAGCAGAGAGUACACUGUUCAUCCAACAAGUAAUUGCUGGAAGAGCAAAUAGGGACACCUAACCAUUGCAGGGGCGACUCAGGAUAUCCUUUCUGGAAGAAAAGUCUGAUGAAAUCUGAAGGACCACUGGUUGAAGUUAGCCAGGAAAGAAAAGGGCAUUUUAAUAUAGAAGUGUGAAAAAUGGAAAGUCAGUCUGAAAGGGGACGUCUUGAAUGUCGUUUUGAAGGUGUUGCGUUUGAAGUACUGAUGAAAUGCUGUGAGUGGAAACAAACUCAGGUGGGAGGGACAAAAAAUAAUAUCCAGGGAUAUUUUGGCACUAACGGCGUGAUCUGUAGCAAGAAAGUUGAGUGGUCUGAACUGUUGAGACUUCCAAGGAGACUUCAGAGAACCAAGACAGUGUAAAGGAAAACAGGAAAAAAGACUUGUUAGACAUUAUUAAGGGCUCGAAAGUUGAAUCGAGCACAGUAAAUGUACAAACAACAAAGCCACCCAGCAGAAAUCCACUUAAAAGCUACAACUGGCGGGCCUCAAAGAGCUGCAGAACAUGCUCCAAAGAAGAGAAAUGAGCCCCUGAGUCGUGAGUUGGUGGCAGCUGCAUCUGCUGCCCUCUUUUGACAAACAUUAGUAACAAAAUAUCAGAUACGAAAAUUGCCAGAUGUGCUACAGCUGAAGUUAGUUACUAAGUCAAGAGCAUCAGAUUCAGUUUGACCAAGUCUUUGACAAUUAUCCUGACCAGGAGAAGACUGCUGAUCUUAGAAACAGGAAAAAUACAUUCAUGGGGAAGAGAUGUAAUAGGUUUGACAUUACGGCAGUUACAGCAUCUGAACAGUUGGCCUGGAUCUGAAUGAUGAAUGUGGCGGUUGUUAGAAGGAAAACUUGGGAUUGUAACGUUCCCCAAAUUGGGAAGGCAUCGAGAGACCAAAGAAUAAUUUGGACAUAUCACCUUCACUUUGGGAUGUGGAAUUUGCUAAGUAGUUAGCCACAGAAAAUGAACACCCCUUCAGAAUGGGUUUGAAGAGCUGAUCCACUGGAUGAAAGAGGGGAAACUGGGAGUUCCCAAUUAACAGUGAAGCAGGAGCUGAUUAAGGCUUUGGAACAGAAACCAGAUGAUGCACGAUAGUAUUGUCAAAGAGCUUAUUGUCACAUUCUUCUUGGGAGUUACUGUGUUGCUGUUGCCGAUGCAAAAAAGUCUUGCGAACUCAAUCUAAUUCCACUGCUGUGCUAAGAAAAGGGUAUUCAAUAGCUACUCUUUUUGUUGAGCUUGGACUGUAAAUAGUAGAUGUUUAAUUUGUUGAAUUGAGUUCAUUGUAAGCUUUAUAAGUAGUAAAAUUCUAUAUUUAUACAUUUUAUAGAAGAGAUAUGACUCAAUUUUAAAUACAAAGUUAUAGUUCUAUUAUUUUGUUAACCAUAGUAUGUGAUAGUAGAUCUGUACUUAACAUUAGUAAAAUUCUAUAUUUAUACAUUUUAUAGAAGAGAUAUGACUCAAUUUUAAAUACAAAGUUACAGUUCUAUUAUUUUGUUAACCAUAGUAUGUGAUAGUAGAUCUAUACUUAACAUAUUUUAAAAUAGUGAUGAUUGAAAUAAUGGCAAGGUGUAGAUGAAACUGAAGGAUUUCACAUUACUUUUUUAUCAUUUGGAAUUUACUGUAUUUAACUGACUAGAGAACAUCUUAUUCUUCAGCCAAGCUGAAUAGGCUGCAUUGAAUGCUAUGAAAGCUCUGUAUCUGUGUGCUUUAUAUCCCAUCUUGUUUCUAAGUGUAACUUUAUUCUUUAAGAAACUUUAAUUCCUUUGUAUAAUUAUAUUUUGGAAUAAGCAAGUAUCUACAAUUAAAGUGAAAUUCCUUCUGAA
Long non-coding RNA from Cercocebus atys (sooty mangabey), 2070 nucleotides. RefSeq lists it as uncharacterized. The record is from RefSeq and is a predicted model, not a curated record. Lineage: Eukaryota; Metazoa; Chordata; Mammalia; Primates; Cercopithecidae. The transcript has 11 exons.